RNAcentral lists this ribosomal RNA (570 nucleotides) under endosymbiont of Polyrhachis dives. Its description in RNAcentral is "bacterial SSU rRNA". It matches the Rfam family "Bacterial small subunit ribosomal RNA", at positions 812 to 1380 of the family's 1533-position model. Lineage: Bacteria; Pseudomonadati; Pseudomonadota; Gammaproteobacteria; Enterobacterales; Enterobacteriaceae. The record is from RNAcentral.
UCGAUUUGAAGGUUGUAAUCUUUGAAUUAUGGCUUUCGGAGCUAACGUGUUAAAUCGACCGCCUGGGGAGUACGGCCGCAAGGUUAAAACUCAAAUGAAUUGACGGGGGCCCGCACAAGCGGUGGAGCAUGUGGUUUAAUUCGAUGCAACGCGAAAAACCUUACCUACCCUUGACAUCUAAAGAACUGUGUAGAGAUAUACGGGUGCCUUCGGGAACUUUAAGACAGGUGCUGCAUGGCUGUCGUCAGCUCGUGUUGUGAAAUGUUGGGUUAAGUCCCGCAACGAGCGCAACCCUUGUCCUUUGUUGCCAGCGAAUAAAGUCGGGAACUCAAAGGAGACUGCCGGUGAUAAGCCGGAGGAAGGUGGGGAUGACGUCAAGUCAUCAUGGCCCUUAUGGGUAGGGCUACAAACGUGCUACAAUGGCGUAUACAAAGGGAAGCAAGCUGUUGAGAGUUAGCAAAUCUCGAAAAAUUCGUCGUAGUCCGGAUUGGAGUCUGCAACUCGACUCCAUGAAGUCGGAAUCGCUAGUAAUCGUGAAUCAGAAUGUCACGGUGAAUACGUUCCCGGGCC